GUAUGUGAGGGUGAUCCAGCUGUGACAUCUGUGGCUCCAUUGAUCUCUAGGGUUGAUUUUGCUGAUCUGGUUGGCUCAGCAGGUUUUCCUUUCCUCUCACCACUCCAUGUUCCUCCCUCCUGAAACUUGCACUCUGUGGCAGAGGGUGACCUUCCCUGAUAGAGAAGGACUGUUCUGCAGUAAGGGUAUAGAAGUAGCUGUGCUCCUCUGCUAGAACCUCCAAACGAGCUCUCAAGAUGCUGGUGUGGCAGAAUUCUAGUACCAGCUUUAAACUCCAAAGGUAAACUUCACAGGAACUAGGUCUUGUUU
Molecule: small nuclear RNA, 309 nt
Filed under: Prolemur simus (greater bamboo lemur)
Lineage: Eukaryota; Metazoa; Chordata; Mammalia; Primates; Lemuridae
Description: 7SK RNA (ENSPSMG00000010433.1)
Rfam family: 7SK RNA
About the family: 7SK was discovered as an abundant small nuclear RNA in the mid-70s but a possible function has only recently been suggested. Two independent studies have found that 7SK RNA binds the CDK9/cyclin T complex (known as elongation factor P-TEFb). P-TEFb activates transcription by phosphorylating the C-terminal domain of RNA polymerase II.
Source: Rfam by way of RNAcentral